Molecule: ribosomal RNA, 334 nt
Filed under: uncultured bacterium
Lineage: Bacteria
Description: bacterial SSU rRNA
Rfam family: Bacterial small subunit ribosomal RNA
Source: RNAcentral
AUUGAACGCUGGCGGAAUGCCUAACACAUGCAAGUCGAACGAGUUGUGUAGCAAUACAUGACUAGUGGCGGACGGGUGAGGAACACAUAGGAAUCUACCCUUGUAGUGGGGAAUAACCCGGGAAACCCGGACUAAUGCCGCAUACGCACUAAGGUGGAAAGCGGGGAGUCGUAAGACCUCGCGCUAUAGGAUGAGCCUAUGUCGGAUUAGCUAGUUGGUUAGGGGUAACGGCCUACCAACGGCGACGAUCCGUAGCUGGUCUGAGAGGACGAUCAGCCACACUGGAACUGAGACACGGUCCAGACUCCUACGGGAGGGCGAGCAGUGGGGAAGU